CAAGGGAUGUGUAGCUUUUUCAAUCCUGGCCAUAAUAUUCUCCUUCAUGCACUUCUCCGUGUCCUUUCUCCUUUCAUUAAGUAAAAUGGAGAUGAUCCCUAAGGACAUCUUGGAAGCCAUAUUUGAAGAUGGUAGAGCCUUGGGCCCCACUUAACUGCUCAAAGACUGGGGAGUGGGAGCCGUUUCAUCAGCACGUUCAGCCACAGAACGCUGUUAGGUGAGCAAAAAACCGGUUGUCUGAGCCAACGCCCGUUUGUCUAUGGGUUGCAGCAGUUGGUCCGCCUAACUAAGGAAGUGCUGAGAGCGGAGGACGUGGAACGACACCAUGCUAAGGUACACGGCGCCUUCCCGGAGGUACAGGAGAGGAUCCAAGUAGCACUCCAGCAAUACAUUCCCAAGGCCCAUGGCCCUGACUCAAGGCAGGCUAAUAAAAGCUAAGAUGCAGCAUUCUAGAAACCCUGAGCUCAACUCUAGCCUGUGCCGACAUCCUGACUUUCAAACCCAUUGGUUUCCAAAAGGAAAAAAGGUUUCAAGCUUUCCAUUCACGACUUUGAACCCAGCCAUUGCAUCUGCCUUUAACAGACUGUCAGUCUGGCAAGAACACCCACUACGUGAAGAGCUGCUACUGAUCCCAGGAAUAAUCAGUUCACAGCCUGGCCUGUGUCAGGGUUGGCAACACAGGUGUCAUAAAAGAAGAAAAGACCAAUUCAUCAACAGUGCUUUCAGGGUGGGCUCAGUAGCUCACAGCUGUAAUCCCAGCACUUUGAGAGACCAAGGUGGAAGUAUUGCUUGAGGCUAGAAGUUUGAGAUAAGCCUGGCCAACAUAGCAAGACCUCCAUCUCUAUAAAACAAGACAAAAGAAAAAAGACAAAAAAAAAAAAAAAAAAAAAAAAGGAUUGCUUUCAUUUUCCCAGAAGGGGCUGCACUUUGAAAUAAAAAGUAGUUUGAAUUCCAUGCCUGUCUUAGUCCAUUUUGUGUUGCUACAGCAGAAUACCUGGGUAAUUUACCAUGAACAGAAAUUUAUGUUCUCACAGUUCUGGAGGCUGGGAAGUCCAAGAUCAAGGCUCUGGC
RNAcentral lists this long non-coding RNA (1071 nucleotides) under Callithrix jacchus (white-tufted-ear marmoset). Its description in RNAcentral is "lncRNA (ENSCJAG00000081770.1)". The record is from RNAcentral. Lineage: Eukaryota; Metazoa; Chordata; Mammalia; Primates; Cebidae.